UAGAGAGCCUUGAGGAUAUCCUCUGCGCUGGAAACCGUGAACUCGCCACCAGAUUCGACAUUAGCUACAGUCACCUUAAGGUUAUCGAGCAACAAAGCGAAUCUCCUUGACCUAAUACCAAGACCCUUGUCCUUAAGGUCAAGCUCAAGUCCAAGAAGAUGUGUGUAUUCUCCAGACCCAUCUGCUACAAACUUCACAUGCUUGUUCUCUGGGUAUGUUUUUCCCCAUGCCUUCAUCACAAAUGGAUCAUUCACUGCAACAACAGAUGCAAAUCACGGCCUAAGUCUACUAUACACAAACUCAAAGAGGCCAAAACAGAGCAAAGAUUAAAAAAAAAAAAACCAUAUUAAUUCAUACUUACCACUAAAGCAAAUGAUCUCAUCAAUACCCUUUGACUUCAGCUCCUCUGCUUUCCCAAUGAAUCCAGGUACAUGGCUCAUACUAUCCUCACAAAAACCAAAAACAGAAUUCUCAAAUCAAAAUCUAAGGAUCCAUCACCUUAGAAUCAAAACCCACUUCAGUUUGAAACUUUUCUUACCUGCAAGUGGGAGUGAAAGCACCAGGAACACCAAAGAGAAUGACUUUUUUACCGGCGGCGAUAGAGUGAACGGAGACAGUUUGAAGCUGAUCAUUUUCAUCGAAGAAAGAGAUAGUUCCGUUUGGUACAACAUCGCCGACAGUAAUUGGAGCCAUGAAGAGAUCUCUGUGGUUUUGAUGAAGACAGGGGAAAAUAGAAGAGUUUUGUUUGACUUGAGAGGGAAAAUGAAUUUAGGUCUUAGGACAAUUUAUAGUGUUUUACGGAAUGAAGUAAAUUAUUAAUAGAUUUCUAAAUUUAGUUUGACCAUAAAAAUAUAAUGGAUUUUCUAAAAUUAUAAUUUAAGAAAAAAAUGUAGAAGUAAAAUUAGAACUAAUAUCCAAAAAUAAACUUUGUUUUCCAAAAAUACAACAAUCUUUUUUAGGAAACCCUCACUAAUAAACUCAUAUGCAAGAACAUGUAAAUAUAUUUUAGAAAACAUUGUAUGACAAUUAAAAUUGAGUUUUUUUUUUUUUUAUAACUUUUUAAAGCAAUUUCAAAAAGAGUAAUUACACUACAUACCGUAAGACUGAGAAGUAUUUAAGUCAAAUGAUCAGUGGCACGUUCGUAAAUAAGUGAUUCUUUGUAAACAUGACAAAAAAACAUAAAUACCCUAAAACUAAAUGCUUCGUUCCUUCUUCCUUCCUUUUUGUUUCUCUUUCCUUUUCUUAUUUUUUUUUCUUACUUUAUGAAAACCUCAAACAAAUGAUUCUUCUUAAUUGUGAAACUGAUUGCAUAUAAAAUUAUGAUAUUUUUAAUUCAUUAAAUUCGUCGUAAUUUUCUGAUCAGAAUGCACUCAAUAAACCUUACAAAAUUCUCGGUACAAAGACGUCAUAAAUUUGAUGUCGUUCAUGUUAUCGAUGGGCAUAUAUAAAAAAUGAUUUGGGAAUCCAUCAAACCGGCGAUGCUAUCAUUGACCAGUGAUGGAUAAACAUAUUUAUCUCCCAAUUCAUUCGUUGUCACCGUCUUCCACUUAUGUUGUCUCAUUAUACUCUCUUUUCCAUCCCACCAUCACCACCUCCUCCUCCACCGCUAACAUAUUCUCUGCUCACAUCACCAUCACCACCUUCUUCACUAAGAUACAAUCCACCACAUCCACCACAAUGUCCUAUAUAUAUAUUGAUGUAUCAUAUGUAAACAACAUUACUGAAAUAUUACGAUGUAAGAUAUAUAUCCAUGUAUGCGAUAAAAAAACAAGAUAUCACGAUACGUAAUUGCAUAGCAGAAUAUAUUAUCGAUACAUGCAUUUAAUAAGUGGUGGCCCUCUACAGAUUCCCUGUCGCAUCUGUCUCCUACGAAAUUAUCUCCCUUAUAUUUUGGAAGAUAUUUUCGUCCAGAAUUUGUUACUAUACCAUUUUCUCUCUUGUUUUGCAAAUAAUAAAACUUGUGUAUGUACUUGCAAAUUAUUUCUCAAAUAAUUAGCAUACAGCUAAUUGGCUCUUUCAAAAAUCCAUAUUAGAAAAAAGAAAUGCAAUGAUAUUCAAUGGAUGAGAAACAAACAUGAUAAAUGUAUAAUGUAUUGAAAAAUUAAUAUCAUUUCUUAAACAUGUGCACUGGGAAAAACUUCUCUUAGUCUCUCAAAUAUAUCAUUUUAAUAACUUUUUUUAUAAUUUCUUUUUUAUUUAAAAUUUUAACUAUAAAUAAAGUAUGUUUAGACAUGUGUCAAAUAGAUUUCUAUAAAUGUUCUCAAAAUCUCUCAAACGAAAAACUCACUUUAUUAUCUUACUUUUAUGGGUGAAAGACUUAGUGAGAGACUUCCACUAAACAUAGAGACACAAACUUAUCAAAGUUUGAUUAAGUGGCAAGACAAGCCCAUGUAUUAAAAAUGAUCCCAUUACCAACUAUUCUUACCAAAAACUAAGAUAACCUAACUUUUUGGUAUGUGUCUACCAUAGUCCAAAACAACAAUGGAAAGAUUUGGUAUGCAUCUUCACGUGAAUUACUCAUAUCUUUCAUAUAAAUCAACGCAAAGAAAAACACCAAAACCAAAUACUUUAUUAUUCCAACAAAGUCACAAUGACACCACUUUAUUAUGCCUGCUUGUUGUCUGAAAUCAGGCUAUAGAUAAUAGAAUCCUCUACUUCACAUACAGCGGUUUACAUACACAAUACAACAAACGAGUGGUAAGUUUCUUAGAGAGCCUUGAGGAUAUCAUCGGCGCUGGAAACCGUGAACUCGCCACCAGAUUCGACAUUGGCUACAGUCACCUUGAGGUUAUCAAGCAACAGAGCAAAUCUCCUUGACCUAACACCAAGACCCUUGUCCUUGAGGUCAAGCUCAAGUCCGAGAAGGUGUGUGUAUUCUCCAGACCCAUCAGCUACAAACUUCACAUGUUUGUUCUCUGGGUAUGUCUUUCCCCAUGCUUUCAUCACAAACGGAUCGUUCACUGCAACAAUCGAACCAAGUGAUAACGCGUCAAUAGUAUAAAACCAUUUGAAUCAGUCUACCAAACAUUUCACAUCGCCAAAUACAAAAACCAAUACGCUGCAUUUUUUUUUACAAUCUAUUACUAAGGACACCAACUACCAUUAGCCUUGAGCUUUGGUAUGUUUGACUAGCAAGCGAUCAGAUUUUAGAAGUAGACACAAACACAUAGAGGCAGAAAUCAGUACAGAUUAUACCGAAGAACAAACCUGACAUCAAACCAUAUACAAAUGUAUAGUUCACUGCAACAAUACUAUAAAACUAAGCAGCAUAUAUAACGUCUGCGAAAACAUUGCACAACAAGCAGACUCAGCCAAAUACAAUAACCAUUCUAACUGUAUAGUGUAUACUACACAAUUUAAAAUUAGGGACACCAACUACCAAAUGAAUCUAAUAAAUGGGCUACCGUGAGUCCAUAUACUCGGUAACCAGCCUCGGAAUCUCUAAAGACCCUUCAUUUACAAGGGCUAAGAACAUAUCAUAACCUAGAGCUAGAGGUUUCACAAACUCAUCACUGAGGUUAGAACAGAGCUGAGAUCAAAAACCUAUCAUUCAUACUCACCACUAAAGCAAAUGAUGUCAUCAACACCCUUUGAUUUAAGCUCCUCUGCUUUCUCAAUGAACCCAGGAACAUGCUUCAUGCUAACCUCACAAAAAACCAAAAACACAAUUCUCAAAUCAAAUCUACAGACUCAUCAGCUUAGCACCAAAACCCACAUCUUAUACAACUAAUUCGAUGGAUAAAUCUGAAGAAACUAAUUUGAAUCGAGAACAAGAAAAAAGAUCAAAACUUUGAAUGCAAAUUUGAGAAUUAAGUGAGAGAUGAUGAAAAAGGUUGAAACUUUGUACCUGCAAGUGGGAGUGAAAGCACCAGGAACACCAAAGAGAAUGACUUUUUUACCGGCGGCGAGAGAGUGAACGGAGGCGGUCUGAAGUUGAUCAUUCUCAUCGAAGAAGGAGAUUGUUCCGUCUGGUACAACAUCGCCGACGGUGAUUGGAGCCAUGAGGAGAGAUCUCUGUGGAUUUGAAGAAAGGGGAAAA
Molecule: long non-coding RNA, 4039 nt
Filed under: Arabidopsis lyrata
Lineage: Eukaryota; Viridiplantae; Streptophyta; Magnoliopsida; Brassicales; Brassicaceae
Description: long non-coding RNA (ALYR_LNC002769)
Source: RNAcentral